This 253-nucleotide ribosomal RNA is filed under the name uncultured bacterium. RNAcentral's name for it is "partial 16S ribosomal RNA". It matches the Rfam family "Bacterial small subunit ribosomal RNA", at positions 524 to 776 of the family's 1533-position model. The record is from RNAcentral.
UACGGAGGGGGCAAGCGUUGUUCGGAAUUACUGGGCGUAAAGGGCGCGUAGGCGGCCUUCUAAGUCGAACGUGAAAUCCCCGGGCUCAACCCGGGAACUGCGUCCGAUACUGGAAGGCUUGAAUCCGGGAGAGGGAUGUGGAAUUCCAGGUGUAGCGGUGAAAUGCGUAGAUAUCUGGAGGAACACCGGUGGCGAAGGCGGCUUUCUGGACAAAUACCGACGCUGAGGCACGAAAGCUAGGGGAGCAAACAGG